GGGGGAAAGCGGGGGAUCGAAAGACCUCGCGCGAUUAGAGCGGCCGAUGCCUGAUUAGCUUGUUGGUGGGGUAAAAGCCCACCAAGGCGACGAUCAGUAGCUGGUUUGAGAGGACGAUCAGCCACACUGGGACUGAGACACGGCCCAGACUCCUACGGGAGGCAGCAGUGGGGAAUUUUGGACAAUGGGGGAAACCCUGAUCCAGCAAUGCCGCGUGAGUGAAGAAGGCCUUCGGGUUGUAAAGCUCUUUUGUCAGGGAAGAAACAC
This 267-nucleotide ribosomal RNA is filed under the name Polynucleobacter sp. Fw70s-17. RNAcentral describes it as "partial 16S rRNA". It matches the Rfam family "Bacterial small subunit ribosomal RNA", at positions 198 to 453 of the family's 1533-position model. The record is from RNAcentral. Lineage: Bacteria; Pseudomonadati; Pseudomonadota; Betaproteobacteria; Burkholderiales; Burkholderiaceae.